Molecule: long non-coding RNA, 401 nt
Filed under: Salvator merianae (Argentine black and white tegu)
Lineage: Eukaryota; Metazoa; Chordata; Lepidosauria; Squamata; Teiidae
Description: lncRNA (ENSSMRG00000022358.1)
Source: RNAcentral
ACUAGGAAGCUGUAAUGACUACAUUUUUUAUCUUCUGUUACAGUCCAAUUAUAUUGGAGGCGGUCCGGACUUUCACCGUUCACUAUUCAACCUUGGUGGUCAGAGUCCACUGGUCUUAUAUUACCUUAAGAUGCAUGGAAUCUCCAACACUUUAUCAAACUCUCGAGCUUUCAGGAUCAAUCACACUGAAAUCUACAAAGUACCGCCAGCCUCCCCAACCUACUUGGAUAUUAUUAAGGAAAGCCAAAAGUCUGCACAAGAAAAACACAGUAAUUUUCUGGAUUUUGAGCAUCGCUAUGGUGUAGAGNUGAGCCGUCUCGAAGAACAAAGGCAUAAAGUUACCAGGAUGUACAAAAGGUUUGCUUUUAUUUUCGUUUGUUAAAACAGAAGGUUAAAUGUCU